Molecule: unclassified non-coding RNA, 1013 nt
Filed under: Hevea brasiliensis (rubber tree)
Lineage: Eukaryota; Viridiplantae; Streptophyta; Magnoliopsida; Malpighiales; Euphorbiaceae
Source: RNAcentral
AAAGUCACUUCUGAAGGAGCGCCUUAGUGGAAAAUCGGCUGGAGGAUCUAGUGAGAAGUCUGAAAAUGAAUCGGUUGAAUUGAACUCCCGCAAUUUUGAUGAGUUGGUGCUUAAAAGUAAAGAACUUUGGAUUGUGGAGUUCUUUGCACCUUGGUGUGGACAUUGUAAAAAAUUAGCUCCUGAGUGGAAGAAGGCUGCUAAUAGCUUGAAGGGGAAGGUUAAGUUGGGUCACGUUGACUGUGAUGCUGAGAAGUCUCUGAUGAGCAGGUUCAAUGUUCAAGGAUUUCCCACCAUCUUGGUGUUUGGUGCUGAUAAAGAUACUCCAAUUCCUUAUGAAGGUGCCAGAACUGCCUCAGCAAUCGAAUCAUUUGCUCUGGAGCAGCUGGAAACCAAUGUUGCACCACCUGAAGUGACUGAGCUGACGGGCCCAGAUGUAUUGGAAGAGAAGUGUGGUUCUGCUGCUAUUUGUUUUGUUGCUUUCUUACCUGACAUUUUGGACUCCAAGGCAGAAGGAAGGAACAAGUACCUUGAGCAGCUGUUAUCAGUUGCUGAGAAGUUCAAAAGGAGUCCAUACAGCUAUGUUUGGGCGGCUGCAGGUAAGCAGCCAGAUCUUGAGAAGCGUGUAGGUGUUGGUGGAUAUGGGUAUCCAGCUUUGAUAGCCUUGAAUGUGAAGAAAGGAGCAUAUGCCCCACUCAAAAGUGCAUUUGAGCUUGAACAUAUUAUAGAGUUUGUGAAAGAAGCUGGGCUUGGUGGAAAGGGAAAUUUGGCUCUGGAGGGUACCCCAGAAAUAGUGAAAACCGAGCCAUGGGACGGCAAAGAUGGAGAGAUCAUUGAAGAGGAUGAGUUCUCUCUUGAAGAACUAAUGGGAGAAGAUGUUGGAAGUAAAGAUGAGUUAUGACAAGGCAAAUUAGUUGAGGAAGAGAAUGAAAAUCCAGGUUACAAACGAUUUUGAUAUUAUACGCAAUGUGUGGAUUGUUACUAAUGACAUUGUAUUUGGAUGACUUUUUUUUUUU